Molecule: long non-coding RNA, 219 nt
Filed under: Elaeis guineensis (African oil palm)
Lineage: Eukaryota; Viridiplantae; Streptophyta; Magnoliopsida; Arecales; Arecaceae
Description: long non-coding RNA (EGUI_LNC044778)
Source: RNAcentral
GGCAUGGAACAACUGCUUCGAUAUCUCAUAUUGAGCAGUUCAAUUUUGUUCCCCAUAUAGCUCCUUACGAUUAAGGAGAAUAGAGGGAACAUCCAUGUCCUCAUGCUACAUUUGGAGUUCAUUGCUCAUGGAGGCAAGUAUGAUACAUUUCACAGUCACACUGUCAUCUUUCUACAUCUUAUAUGCGGGUCUAUCCUCCUCGAAAGCAUCUUCCCCAAG